RNAcentral lists this ribosomal RNA (499 nucleotides) under uncultured bacterium. RNAcentral's name for it is "bacterial SSU rRNA". It matches the Rfam family "Bacterial small subunit ribosomal RNA", at positions 29 to 521 of the family's 1533-position model. The record is from RNAcentral.
AACGAACGCUGGCGGCGCGCCUAAUACAUGCAAGUCGAGCGAGAAGGUGUAGCAAUACACUUGUAAAGCGGCGAACGGGUGAGGAAUGCAUGGGUAACCUACCCUCGAGUGGGGAAUAACUAGCCGAAAGGUUAGCUAAUACCGCAUACGUUUCCGGAACUUCGGUUUCGGAAAGAAAGCAAUACCGUGGGUAUUGCGCUCCUGGAUGGGCUCAUGUCCUAUCAGCUUGUUGGUGAGGUAACGGCUCACCAAGGCUUCGACGGGUAGCUGGUCUGAGAGGACGAUCAGCCACACUGGCACUGCGACACGGGCCAGACUCCUACGGGAGGCAGCAGUAAGGAAUAUUGCGCAAUGGACGAAAGUCUGACGCAGCGACGCCGCGUGGGGGAUGAAGGUCUUCGGAUUGUAAACCCCUUUCGGGAGGGAAGAUGGAGUGGGUAACCACUUGGACGGUACCUCCAGAAGCAGCCACGGCUAACUUCGUGCCAGCAGCCGCGGU